GACGAACGCUGGCGGCGUGCUUAACACAUGCAAGUCGAACGGAAAGGCCCUGCUUUUGUGGGGUGCUCGAGUGGCGAACGGGUGAGUAACACGUGAGUAACCUGCCCUUGACUUUGGGAUAACUUCAGGAAACUGGGGCUAAUACCGGAUAGGAGCUCCUGCUGCAUGGUGGGGGUUGGAAAGUUUCGGCGGUUGGGGAUGGACUCGCGGCUUAUCAGCUUGUUGGUGGGGUAGUGGCUUACCAAGGCUUUGACGGGUAGCCGGCCUGAGAGGGUGACCGGCGAGAGGAGAACGGAGAACGGCGCACUGCGCGGGAGGGAGGCAGGAGUGGGGAAAGUGGCACGGCGGGCGGAAGCGGGGGCGAGGGACGCCGGGGGGGGGAUGGCGGGCUGGGGUUGGUACACCGCGUGGGUGGUGGAAGAGGCGUGGGGGACGGGAAGGAGAAAAGACGCACCGGGUAACUGCGUGCCAGCAGCCGAGGUAAGAGGGGGAAGAGCACCCAUCCGAAC
RNAcentral lists this ribosomal RNA (509 nucleotides) under uncultured bacterium. Its description in RNAcentral is "partial 16S ribosomal RNA". The stretch from base 20 to 332 matches the Rfam family "Bacterial small subunit ribosomal RNA", at positions 47 to 358 of the family's 1533-position model. The record is from RNAcentral.